GAUGAACGCUGGCGGCGUGCUUAACACAUGCAAGUCGAACGAAGCAUUUAAGACAGAUUACUUCGGUUUGAAGUCUUUUAUGACUGAGUGGCGGACGGGUGAGUAACGCGUGGGUAACCUGCCUCAUACAGGGGGAUAGCAGCUGGGAACGGCUGGUAAUACCGCAUAAGCGCACAGUACCACAUGGUACAGUGUGAAAAACUCCGGUGGUAUGAGAUGGACCCGCGUCUGAUUAGCUUGUUGGCGGGGUAACGGCCCACCAAGGCGACGAUCAGUAGCCGACCUGAGAGGGUGACCGGCCACAUUGGGACUGAGACACGGCCCAGACUCCUACGGGAGGCAGCAGUGGGGAAUAUUGCACAAUGGAGGAAACUCUGAUGCAGCGACGCCGCGUGAGUGAAGAAGUAGUUCGCUAUGUAAAGCUCUAUCAGCAGGGAAGAUAGUGACGGUACCUGACUAAGAAGCUCCGGCUAAAUACGUG
Molecule: ribosomal RNA, 481 nt
Filed under: uncultured bacterium
Lineage: Bacteria
Description: partial 16S ribosomal RNA
Rfam family: Bacterial small subunit ribosomal RNA
Source: RNAcentral